This 828-nucleotide ribosomal RNA is filed under the name Triticum aestivum (bread wheat). RNAcentral describes it as "partial small subunit ribosomal RNA". Lineage: Eukaryota; Viridiplantae; Streptophyta; Magnoliopsida; Poales; Poaceae. The record is from RNAcentral.
AGGGCAGCCUGCGCAAGUUGACCGUGGACCCGUGGUGCUCGCCCAAGAACGGAACCACCCGCUGGAGAGGCUCCAGGGAUGGCGCUGACCCGGCUGUUCAUCUCCCACUUCCCCACCGCCGUCCUGGCCGGACUCGCCUCCGCCUCCGCGUCGCCCUUCCUGUCUGACAGCUUAUUCCAGGGCAGCACCGGAUCGACGGGGAGGAGCUUGCUGCAGACCAAGAAUGACUGCCCUAUGAGCUUCGAGACCCAGAACUACACGAUCCUCACAAACAAGUGCAAAAGGCCACAAUACCCUCCUACCGAAUGUUGUGAUGCUUUCAAGGAAUUUGCGUGCCCAUUUGCCGCGUACAUCAACAACCAGAGCACUAACUGUGCAGACACAAUGUUCAGCUACAUCGACUUCCAUGGCUACCCAAAAGGCCUGUUCGCCGACGAGUGCCUAAAAGGAAAGGAAGGGGUUUCUUGCGAAGGCAUCCCAGCGGUAGACACCGGCGUGCCCAGUGGCGGGCGACAAGUUCAAGGGGUUUCGCGUCCUUUGGUUGUGCUCCUGUGUGGACUAGGAGCAUUGUUGUUCCCUUGAGUGGUGUGAUUCCCUGGACUUCUCCAAAGAUGGCGUGUUGUCAGUUGUAAGUAGUAAGGCUUAGGAUUCAUUUGCUUCUCCUUGACACUCUCUUCCAUUGCUAUAAUGUGUCCAUUUGUUACAGAACUACAUGACAUCUUAAGAUUCAACAUUAUAUGGAUGAUCACAUCCUGCUAUUGGGAGAGUGCACAUCCGAAUUGUAAAUCAGGGAAUCAAAUAUCAAUUAACUAUUUUCCAGUCUAGCUG